UAGGGAAUCUUCCGCAAUGGACGCAAGUCUGACGGAGCAACGCCGCGUGAGUGAAGAAGGAUUUCGGUUCGUAAAACUCUGUUGUUAGAGAAGAACAGCGCAUAGAGUAACUGUUAUGCGUGUGACGGUAUCUAACCAGAAAGCCACGGCUAACUACGUGCCAGCAGCCGCGGUAAUACGUAGGUGGCAAGCGUUGUCCGGAUUUAUUGGGCGUAAAGCGAGCGCAGGCGGUCAAUUAAGUCUGAUGUGAAAGCCCCCGGUUCAACCGGGGAGGGUCAUUGGAAACGGGUUGACUUGAGUGCAGAAGAGGAGAGUGGAAUUCCAUGUGUAGCGGUGAAAUGCGUAGAUAUAUGGAGGAACACCGGUGGCGAAAGCGGCUCUCUGGUCUGUAACUGACGCUGAGGCUCGAAAGCGUGGGGAGCGAACAGG
Molecule: ribosomal RNA, 429 nt
Filed under: Bacteroidota bacterium
Lineage: Bacteria; Pseudomonadati; Bacteroidota
Description: Bacteroidetes bacterium partial 16S ribosomal RNA
Rfam family: Bacterial small subunit ribosomal RNA
Source: RNAcentral